RNAcentral lists this ribosomal RNA (477 nucleotides) under uncultured bacterium. RNAcentral describes it as "bacterial SSU rRNA". It matches the Rfam family "Bacterial small subunit ribosomal RNA", at positions 402 to 896 of the family's 1533-position model. The record is from RNAcentral.
UGAAUGAUGAAGGUCUUAGGAUUGUAAAGUUCUUUCGCCCGUGACGAUGAUGACGGUAACGGGAGAAGAAGCCCCGGCUAACUUCGUGCCAGCAGCCGCGGUAAUACGAAGGGGGCUAGCGUUGUUCGGAAUUACUGGGCGUAAAGCGCGCGUAGGCGGUUUUGCAAGCCAGAGGUGAAAUGCCUGAGCUCAACUUAGGAAUUGCCUUUGGGACUGCGAGGCUUUGAGGACUGGAGAGGUGAGUGGAAUUCCCAGUGUAGAGGUGAAAUUCGUAGAUAUUGGGAAGAACACCAGUGGCGAAGGCGGCUCACUGGCCAGUUUCUGACGCUGCAGCGCGAAAGCGUGGGGAUCAAACAGGAUUAGAUACCCUGGUAGUCCACGCUGUAAACGAUGAGUGCUAGGCGUCGGCACGCUUGCGUGUCGGUGCCGCAGCUAACGCGUGAAGCACUCCGCCUGGGGAGUACGGUCGCAAGAUUA